Molecule: ribosomal RNA, 370 nt
Filed under: uncultured Treponema clone RFS16p
Lineage: Bacteria; Pseudomonadati; Spirochaetota; Spirochaetia; Treponematales; Treponemataceae
Description: bacterial SSU rRNA
Rfam family: Bacterial small subunit ribosomal RNA
Source: RNAcentral
AGGUGUGAUACCUAGUUGGGAUAGCAUAGAAUAUGUAUACCGAUAUGUGCGAGACUGUGUUUGCAAGAAGGGUUCGGUCCGCUUGGGAUGGCCCGGUCCCAUUAGCUAGUUGGUGAGGUAAGAGCCCACCAAGGCGAUGAUGGGUAGCCGGCCUGAGAGGGUGAACGGCCACACUGGGACUGAGAUACGGCCCAAACNCCUACGGGAGGCAGCAGCUAAGAAUAUUCCGCAAUGGACGAAAGNCUGACGGAGCGACGCCGCGUGGAUGACGAAGGCCGGAAGGUUGUAAAANCCUUUUGCCAGUGAAGAAUAAGCGAGGGAGGGAAUGCCCNCGUGAUGACGUUAGCUGGUGAAUAAGCCCCGGCUAAUU